CUUACAUCACACCUCAGAAGUGUCAUAUGCCUGGAGGGUGCAGCAAUUGCUCACGUUCCUGGCAGGAGGGACUGUUCACUGAGUCCUUUGACACUUUGCAGUGCUGCGUGGCUGGUAGCUAUGAGAAACUGGGGUGGUGCAUGCGGUUUGGACUGCAUGAUCGCAGUCGAGGCAGCACGUGUUUUGGCACCAGCUUUCCUUUGCUCUGUUGAGGGCCGAUGGGGGCAGAUGGGGGCAGUUUGGUGUUUCGUGUGAAAUGAUCCUUCAUUUCCAGGAGGUUCAACACAGCUAUAAUGAUGUUAGCUUUAAGAUGAAGAGUUUUUCUCAUUACUGUCAUCGUCUCCUUGCUAAUUCAGAG
Non-coding RNA from Electrophorus electricus (electric eel), 358 nucleotides. NCBI's taxonomy places the organism in Eukaryota, Metazoa, Chordata, Actinopteri, Gymnotiformes, Gymnotidae. The record is from RefSeq and is a predicted model, not a curated record.